This 429-nucleotide ribosomal RNA is filed under the name Gemmatimonadota bacterium. RNAcentral describes it as "Gemmatimonadetes bacterium partial 16S ribosomal RNA". It matches the Rfam family "Bacterial small subunit ribosomal RNA", at positions 355 to 776 of the family's 1533-position model. Lineage: Bacteria; Pseudomonadati; Gemmatimonadota. The record is from RNAcentral.
UAGGGAAUCUUCGGCAAUGGACGAAAGUCUGACCGAGCAACGCCGCGUGAGUGAAGAAGGUUUUCGGAUCGUAAAACUCUGUUGUUAGAGAAGAACAAGGACGUUAGUAACUGAACGUCCCCUGACGGUAUCUAACCAGAAAGCCACGGCUAACUACGUGCCAGCAGCCGCGGUAAUACGUAGGUGGCAAGCGUUGUCCGGAUUUAUUGGGCGUAAAGCGAGCGCAGGCGGUUUCUUAAGUCUGAUGUGAAAGCCCCCGGCUCAACCGGGGAGGGUCAUUGGAAACUGGCAGACUUGAGUGCAGAAGAGGAGAGUGGAAUUCCAUGUGUAGCGGUGAAAUGCGUAGAUAUAUGGAGGAACACCAGUGGCGAAGGCGGCUCUCUGGUCUGUAACUGACGCUGAGGCUCGAAAGCGUGGGGAGCAAACAGG